GACGAACGCUGGCGGUGUGCUUAACACAUGCAAGUCGAACGGUAAGGCCCUUUCGGGGGUACACGAGUGGCGAACGGGGGAGUAACACGUGAGUAACCUGCCCUCAUCUCUGGGAUAACAGUCGGAAACGGUUGCUAAUACUGGAUAUGAGCUUGCAAGGCAUCUUGUGGGUUGGAAAGAUUUUUUUGGUUGGGGAUGGACUCGCGGCCUAUCAGCUUGUUGGUGAGGUAGUGGCUCACCAAGGCUUCGACGGGUAGCCGGCCUGGGAGGGCGACCGGCCACAUUGGGACUGAGAUACGGCCCAAACUCCUACGGGAGGCAGCAGUGGGGAAUAUUGCACAAUGGACGGAAGUCUGAUGCAGCAACGCCGCGGGCGGGAUGACGGCCUUCGGGUUGUAAACCGCUUUCAAUUGUGACGAAGCUUUUUGUGACGGUAGCAGUAGAAGAAGCACCGGCUAACUACGUG
Molecule: ribosomal RNA, 466 nt
Filed under: uncultured bacterium
Lineage: Bacteria
Description: partial 16S ribosomal RNA
Rfam family: Bacterial small subunit ribosomal RNA
Source: RNAcentral